RNAcentral lists this ribosomal RNA (490 nucleotides) under uncultured bacterium. RNAcentral describes it as "partial 16S ribosomal RNA". It matches the Rfam family "Bacterial small subunit ribosomal RNA", at positions 30 to 507 of the family's 1533-position model. The record is from RNAcentral.
AUUGAACGCUGGCGGCAGGCCUAACACAUGCAAGUCGAACGGUAACAGGAAGAAGCUUGCUUCUUUGCUGACGAGUGGCGGACGGGUGAGUAAUGUCUGGGAAACUGCCUGAUGGAGGGGGAUAACUACUGGAAACGGUAGCUAAUACCGCAUAACGUCGCAAGACCAAAGAGGGGGACCUUCGGGCCUCUUGCCAUCGGAUGUGCCCAGAUGGGAUUAGCUAGUAGGUGGGGUAACGGCUCACCUAGGCGACGAUCCCUAGCUGGUCUGAGAGGAUGACCAGCCACACUGGAACUGAGACACGGUCCAGACUCCUACGGGAGGCAGCAGUGGGGAAUAUUGGACAAUGGGCGCAAGCCUGAUGCAGCCAUGCCGCGUGUAUGAAGAAGGCCUUCGGGUUGUAAAGUACUUUCAGCGGGGAGGAAGGGAGUAAAGUUAAUACCUUGGCUCAUUGACGUUACCCGCAGAAGAAGCACCGGCUAACUCCGUG